RNAcentral lists this long non-coding RNA (585 nucleotides) under Struthio camelus australis. RNAcentral's name for it is "lncRNA (ENSSCUG00000015445.1)". Lineage: Eukaryota; Metazoa; Chordata; Aves; Struthioniformes; Struthionidae. The record is from RNAcentral.
GCCCGGGGCGAGGAAGGAGAUAUCGGAGCCCAGCCGGGUGCAGAAGCCGCUGUCCUGGCAGUUACCGCUCUCCUGUCUGUCGGUCGUGGCACGCCCCGUUUCUUUCUGCCUUCUCCCGCCGUCUGUGUUUGCCCACGGUGUCCUGCCGCCCCCGUGAAGCACCACCCGUGUAUCUCGCACUCUGGUUAUUCUAACUCCCAACAAAAUGUGGUUAGGAACUGCAGCCAUGAUGUCAACGCCUGGUUCACCUUGGUCGUUUCACGCAGGGCUGUGCUGCCAAUGGCGCAGUUGGCGGGACCACCAGGAAGGCAAACAAUUAAAAAUAAGUGCUGUAAGCAGUUGCAAGACCUGUGACCACAGCAGCAGGAGGGAGGACUGCACCAUGUCCACAAGAAGCUUUUCAGCAGUUUGGAAAGCAUCUGCAGGGCUCCUGGAGAUUCAUUUUAGGAUUCUGAAGGAUAGAAGACAACUCUGUGAACGGAGAGGGGAGAUUCAGCGACCUGUUUCCAGUCUCUGCUCCAAAGUCUUUGAUCUCCAUUUACUCUAAAAACAGAUUUUUUUAAAAUAAAUUGUGCAACAUAAACA